UUGUACUGAUUGAGAUUUUUAACACGAAGUGAGUGGCGAACGGGUGAGUAACACGUGGGUAACCUGCCCAGAAGUAGGGGAUAACACCUGGAAACAGAUGCUAAUACCGUAUAACAGAAGAAAACCGCAUUGGUUUUUACUUUUAAAAGAUGGCUCUGCUAUCACUUCUGGAUGGACCCGCGGCGUAUUAGCUAGUUGGUGAGGUAAGGCUCACCAAGGCAGUGAUACGUAGCCCGACCUGAGGAGGGUAAUCGGCCACUAGUUGGGACUGAGACACCGGCCCAGACUCC
RNAcentral lists this ribosomal RNA (290 nucleotides) under uncultured Pediococcus sp. RNAcentral describes it as "partial 16S ribosomal RNA". It matches the Rfam family "Bacterial small subunit ribosomal RNA", at positions 62 to 339 of the family's 1533-position model. The record is from RNAcentral. Lineage: Bacteria; Bacillati; Bacillota; Bacilli; Lactobacillales; Lactobacillaceae.